This 20-nucleotide ribosomal RNA is filed under the name Cladonia furcata. RNAcentral's name for it is "partial 28S ribosomal RNA". Lineage: Eukaryota; Fungi; Ascomycota; Lecanoromycetes; Lecanorales; Cladoniaceae. The record is from RNAcentral.
UUGACCUCGGAUCAGGAGGG